RNAcentral lists this ribosomal RNA (447 nucleotides) under uncultured bacterium. RNAcentral describes it as "bacterial SSU rRNA". It matches the Rfam family "Bacterial small subunit ribosomal RNA", at positions 355 to 825 of the family's 1533-position model. The record is from RNAcentral.
UGGGGAAUCUUGGACAAUGGGCGCAAGCCUGAUCCAGCCAUGCCGCGUGAGUGACGAAGGUCUUCGGAUUGUAAAGCUCUUUUGGCGGGGACGAUAAUGACGGUACCCGCAGAAUAAGCCCCGGCUAACUUCGUGCCAGCAGCCGCGGUAAUACGAAGGGGGCUAGCGUUGUUCGGAAUUACUGGGCGUAAAGCGCACGUAGGCGGAUCUAUAAGUCAGGGGUGAAAUCCCGGGGCUCAACCUCGGAACUGCCUUUGAUACUGUAGAUCUCGAGUCCGGAAGAGGUGAGUGGAAUUCCUAGUGUAGAGGUGAAAUUCGUAGAUAUUAGGAAGAACACCAGUGGCGAAGGCGGCUCACUGGUCCGGUACUGACGCUGAGGUGCGAAAGCGUGGGGAGCAAACAGGAUUAGAUACCCGAGUAGUCCCUGAGCGGGCUGGCAAGGCGCAU